CGGAGGGGCUAGCGUUGUUCGGAAUUACUGGGGCGUAAAAGCGCACGUAGGCGGACCAGAAAGUUGGGGGUGAAAGUACCCGGGGCGUCAACCUCGGAACUGCCUUCAAAACUAUGGUCUGGAGUUCGAGAGAGGUGAGUGGAAUUCCGAGUGUAGAGGUGAAAUUCGUAGAUAUUCGGAGGAACACCAGUGGCGAAGGCGGCUCACUGGCUCGAUACUGACGCUGAGGUGCGAAAGCGUGGGGAGCAAACAGGAUU
RNAcentral lists this ribosomal RNA (257 nucleotides) under uncultured bacterium. RNAcentral's name for it is "partial 16S ribosomal RNA". It matches the Rfam family "Bacterial small subunit ribosomal RNA", at positions 527 to 779 of the family's 1533-position model. The record is from RNAcentral.